RNAcentral lists this ribosomal RNA (233 nucleotides) under uncultured bacterium. RNAcentral describes it as "partial 16S ribosomal RNA". It matches the Rfam family "Bacterial small subunit ribosomal RNA", at positions 102 to 334 of the family's 1533-position model. The record is from RNAcentral.
ACGGGUGAGUAACGCGUGGUCAACCUACCGUUGAGUGGGGGAUAACUAGCCGAAAGGUUAGCUAAUACCGCAUACGUCUCCGAGUGGCAUCACUUGGCGAUAAAAGGAGCAAUCCGCUCGAUGACGGGACCGCGUCCCAUUAGCUAGAUGGUGGGGUAACGGCCUACCAUGGCACCGAUGGGUAGCUGGUUUGAGAGAGCGACCAGCCACACUGGGACUGAGAAACGGCCCAG